This is a long non-coding RNA of Lathyrus oleraceus (garden pea), 425 nucleotides long. RefSeq lists it as uncharacterized. Lineage: Eukaryota; Viridiplantae; Streptophyta; Magnoliopsida; Fabales; Fabaceae. The record is from RefSeq and is a predicted model, not a curated record. The transcript has 3 exons.
AGUAGGUCCAAUGUUUAAAGUUGGUUUUUCUGAAUGUAGGUUUCCAAGACUGUUCAGCUUACUUAGUGGAGGUAGGAAGCAAUUGUUAAAUGCAAGUUAAUUGUUUUUUCCAAAUUUAUAUCAAAGAAUAAAGACUAGUGAAGCAAUAUGUCAUCCGGACUUUUUCAAAGACAACUAUUUAUCAAGUCAUCUUUUACUUGUUGGUUCUUGUUCCCACUACUGUUACGAUGAUGAGAUGAUAGAUACCAAGUAACAAAAAUGUGUGCAACAAGAAACCGAUUAUGUUGAGGAAUCCGAAUCUGUUUGCAUACACCUACAUGUUUGGUGUCUUACAUGUUUCGGUGUCCGAAACUGACACAUGUAAUUAAAUUCAAUUAAUUCAUUCAUUUUCAAACUUUUAUUAAUGUCGACUUGUCCAAGUCAAU